ACUCAAAUGAAUUGACGGGGGCCCGCACAAGCGGCGGAGCAUGUGGAUUAAUUCGAUGCAACGCGGAGAACCUUACCUGGCCUUGACAUGCACAGGACGCGCUCAGAGAUGGGUGUUCCCUUGUGGUCUGUGUGCAGGUGGUGCAUGGCUGUCGUCAGCUCGUGUCGUGAGAUGUUGGGUUAAGUCCCGCAACGAGCGCAACCCUCGCCCUAUGUUGCCAGCGCGUGAUGGCGGGGACUCGUGGGGGACUGCCGGGGUGAACUCGGAGGAAGGUGGGGAUGACGUCAAGUCUGUAUGUCCCUUACGGCCAGGGCUUCACACAUGCUACAAUGGCCAGUUACAGCGGGAUGCGAGACCGUGAGGUGGAGCGAAUCCCUGAAAGCUGGUCUCAGUUCGGAUCGUAGUCUGCAACUCGACUACGUGAAGUUGGAGUCGCUAGUAAUCGCAGAUCAGCAGUGCUGCGGUGAAUACGUUCCCGGGCCUUGCACACACCGCCCGU
Molecule: ribosomal RNA, 499 nt
Filed under: uncultured bacterium
Lineage: Bacteria
Description: partial 16S ribosomal RNA
Rfam family: Bacterial small subunit ribosomal RNA
Source: RNAcentral